UAUAUUAAUUUAGAAUAUUUAUCUUUAUUUGAAAAAUCCAAAGGUAAAAAAAGAUACGAAAUAAUGAUGGAUAUAAACCGCAAACAAAUUGAACAAGGAAUUGAAGUAAAAAAUCACGCAUGGAAAACUAUAAAAGCUUCGGGGGAAAACGCAUUCAUGCUUGCUUAAUGCCGAAGACAUGGAAGAAGGGAUGUCGAUUAAUGUUUUGCGAUGGAAUUUGCUGGAAUUCAUUACUUUUUAUUGAGAGCAUCAUAGUGCGGCUCUUUUAUUGGUAUAACGAAGUCAAAACGACCACGGCAUCGGGCACGUUCCAUGACAUAACACUGACGUGAUAAUAUUAUGCGAGUUUGAUGAAAUUAAAGUAGCACAAGCGUCUUGAACUAAAUUUUUCGAUAUUUGUUCAUUUGUAACAAAAAAAAAAAAUAAUUUAAGGUAGAAAUGCAUCUCAAUUCAUUUUAAUAGGUUUAUUUAUCUUGGUCCCAGAAGUUUCCUUUUAAGAAUACAUACAGAUGAGGAUUUAGAAUUAAUAGGAUUAAGUUACAGUACUUACCUGAUUGAAAGAUUACAUUGACAAAAUUACUUAUGAGGAGACGAUUAUUUAGUGACUUAUCAUUAUGUCUAUUGACGUACUAUAAUACAAGGAAAUUUUUAUAUUGGAAAUAUUUCGGUCCUCGACCUCUUAAAGACUAUACACUGUGAUUCAUCGGUUAACGAACGCAAUUUCGUUGUGUGAUCAUGAUUCUUCAGUUGAUAUAAUAAACGAGUUCGUAUCAUCUGGUUUAGAAAUAUGCAUGCUGAAACGAUGAUUAAAAUAAUAUCUAGCAUUUGUGCAUGUGUUGUUGUCAUAAACCCAUGAAGAAAAAAGAUAUAAUAUAAAAAUUGAAAUAGUUAUAAGUUGAAUUAAAGAAAAAUUGUUGCAUUUAAAAUAAAAAUUGCAUACUACAAACAGAAUAAAAUUUAAAAAAGUAUAUUUAAGAAUCAAUCUAAUCUUUUCAUCAUUGAUUAAUCACGAUAAUUAUACAUUGUU
Long non-coding RNA from Apis florea (little honeybee), 1027 nucleotides. RefSeq lists it as uncharacterized. The record is from RefSeq and is a predicted model, not a curated record. NCBI's taxonomy places the organism in Eukaryota, Metazoa, Arthropoda, Insecta, Hymenoptera, Apidae.